AAGUGGGAAACGAUGUGGGAAGGCCCAGACAGCCAGGAUGUUGGCUUAGAAGCAGCCAUCAUUUAAAGAAAGCGUAAUAGCUCACUGGUCGAGUCGGCCUGCGCGGAAGAUGUAACGGGGCUAAACCAUGCACCGAAGCUGCGGCAGCGACGCUUAUGCGUUGUUGGGUAGGGGAGCGUUCUGUAAGCCUGUGAAGGUGGCCUGUGAGGGUUGCUGGAGGUAUCAGAAGUGCGAAUGCUGACAUAAGUAACGAUAAAGCGGGUGAAAAGCCCGCUCGCCGGAAGACCAAGGGUUCCUGUCCAACGUUAAUCGGGGCAGGGUGAGUCGACCCCUAAGGCGAGGCCGAAAGGCGUAGUCGAUGGGAAACGGGUUAAUAUUCCCGUACUUGGUGUUACUGCGAAGGGGGGACGGAGAAGGCUAUGUUGGCCGGGCGACGGUUGUCCCGGUUUAAGCGUGUAGGUGUGUGUUCCAGGUAAAUCCGGUUCACUUUAACACUGAGGCGUGACGACGAGGCACUACGGUGCUGAAGCAACAAAUGCCCUGCUUCCAGGAAAAGCCUCUAAGCAUCAGGUAACAUCAAAUCGUACCCCAAACCGACACAGGUGGUCAGGUAGAGAAUACCAAGGCGCUUGAGAGAACUCGGGUGAAGGAACUAGGCAAAAUGGUGCCGUAACUUCGGGAGAAGGCACGCUGACACGUAGGUGAAGUGAUUUACUCAUGGAGCUGAAGUCAGUCGAAGAUACCAGCUGGCUGCAACUGUUUAUUAAAAACACAGCACUGUGCAAACACGAAAGUGGACGUAUACGGUGUGACGCCUGCCCGGUGCCGGAAGGUUAAUUGAUGGGGUCAGCGCAAGCGAAGCUCCUGAUCGAAGCCCCGGUAAACGGCGGCCGUAACUAUAACGGUCCUAAGGUAGCGAAAUUCCUUGUCGGGUAAGUUCCGACCUGCACGAAUGGCGUAAUGAUGGCCAGGCUGUCUCCACCCGAGACUCAGUGAAAUUGAACUCGCUGUGAAGAUGCAGUGUACCCGCGGCAAGACGGAAAGACCCCGUGAACCUUUACUAUAGCUUGACACUGAACAUUGAGCCUUGAUGUGUAGGAUAGGUGGGAGGCUUUGAAGUGUGGACGCCAGUCUGCAUGGAGCCGACCUUGAAAUACCACCCUUUAAUGUUU
RNAcentral lists this ribosomal RNA (1172 nucleotides) under Salmonella enterica subsp. enterica serovar Saintpaul. Its description in RNAcentral is "partial 23S ribosomal RNA". It matches the Rfam family "Bacterial large subunit ribosomal RNA", at positions 1061 to 2215 of the family's 2925-position model. Lineage: Bacteria; Pseudomonadati; Pseudomonadota; Gammaproteobacteria; Enterobacterales; Enterobacteriaceae. The record is from RNAcentral.